CCUACGGGAGGCAGCAGUGAGGAAUAUUGGUCAAUGGGCGCGAGCCUGAACCAGCCAAGCAGCGUGAAGGAUGACUGCCCUACGGAUUGUAAACUUCUUUUAUAAAGGAAUAAAGUGAGGCACGUGAGCCUGAUUGUAGGUACUUUAUGAAUAAGGAUCGGCUAACUCUGUGCCAGCAGCCGCGGUAAUACGGAGGAUCCGAGCGUUAUCCGGAUUUAUUGGGUUUAAAGGGAGCGUAGACGGGUUGUUAAGUCAGUGGUGAAAGCUUGGGGCUCAACCGUGGAGUUGCAAUUGAUACUGGGUGCCUGGAGUGCAGUUGAGGUAGGCGGAAUUCGUGGUGUAGCGGUGAAAUGCUUAGAUAUCAGGAAGAACACCGAUGGCGAAGGCAGCUUACUAAACGGCCACUGACGUUGAGGCUCGAAAGUGUGGGUAUCAAACAGGAUUAGAUACCCCGGUAGUC
Molecule: ribosomal RNA, 460 nt
Filed under: uncultured bacterium
Lineage: Bacteria
Description: partial 16S ribosomal RNA
Rfam family: Bacterial small subunit ribosomal RNA
Source: RNAcentral